Molecule: long non-coding RNA, 365 nt
Filed under: Elaeis guineensis (African oil palm)
Lineage: Eukaryota; Viridiplantae; Streptophyta; Magnoliopsida; Arecales; Arecaceae
Description: long non-coding RNA (EGUI_LNC012955)
Source: RNAcentral
UGUGAAUACUGAAAAAGAGUUUUUAUGAAAUUCAUAAAUAAAUUUGAGUCAAAUCAAUCUAGUAUAUGACUGACGAUGAGAUUUGACGAGUUCUCUAUAAUCUCUGUCUAGUUAGGACUCACGAUAGAAGGACUCUAUCACACGAUAACUGCACCUAGAGGUUCAUUCUUCUAUUCUGUUAGGUUGUCAUUACAUGCUGCUAGACGUCACUGAUGAAUUAUGAGAACUCAUUAGGAUUAUUUUUUCGAACCCACGAUCCUUAUUGGGGUGAGUUGGAACAAUUCCAACCCAUGGAAAAGAGUUUCGAUGAUAUCAUGAUGGAGAUCACAGUAUGUCUCACUAUCAAAUAGAAUAAAAUCUGAGGG